RNAcentral lists this ribosomal RNA (253 nucleotides) under uncultured bacterium. RNAcentral's name for it is "partial 16S ribosomal RNA". It matches the Rfam family "Bacterial small subunit ribosomal RNA", at positions 524 to 776 of the family's 1533-position model. The record is from RNAcentral.
GACAGAGGGUGCAAACGUUGUUCGGAAUUACUGGGCGUAAAGCGCGUGUAGGCGGCCAUGCAAGUCGGAUGUGAAAGCCCUCGGCUCAACCGGGGAAGUGCACUCGAAACUGCAAGGCUAGAGUCUCGGAGAGGAUCGUGGAAUUCUCGGUGUAGAGGUGAAAUUCGUAGAUAUCGAGAGGAACACCGGUGGCGAAGGCGGCGAUCUGGACGGUUACUGACGCUGAGACGCGAAAGCGUGGGGAGCAAACAGG